AAACCAACAGGGAUUGCCUCAGUAACGGCGAGUGAAGCGGCAAAAGCUCAAAUUUGAAAUCCCCGGGAAUUGUAAUUUGAAGGACCUAUUAAAACCCUGAGAGAGCCCAAAGUCCAUUGGAAAAUGGCGCCAUAGAAGGUGAUAGCCCUGUGUGGACCUCUCUCAGUAUACUUUUUAGGCCCAAAGAGUCGAGUUGUUUGGGAAUGCAGCUCUAAGUGGGUGGUAAAUUCCAUCUAAAGCUAAAUAUUGGCGAGAGACCGAUAGCGAACAAGUACAGUGAUGGAAAGAUGAAAAGCACUUUGAAAAGAGAGUGAAAAAGUACGUGAAAUUGUUGAAAGGGAAGGGCUUGCAAGCAGACACAACCUCGGUUGGGCCAGCAUCGGGGCGGGGGGAAACAAAAAAAGGUGUGGAAUGUGGCUCUUACGAGUGUUAUAGCCCCACCCAAUAUUUCCAUCCCAUCCCGAGGCCUGCGAUUCUUCAAGGAUGCUGGCGUAAUGGUUGCAAGUCGC
RNAcentral lists this ribosomal RNA (509 nucleotides) under Metschnikowia rancensis. RNAcentral's name for it is "eukaryotic LSU rRNA". It matches the Rfam family "Eukaryotic large subunit ribosomal RNA", at positions 62 to 648 of the family's 3401-position model. The record is from RNAcentral. Lineage: Eukaryota; Fungi; Ascomycota; Pichiomycetes; Serinales; Metschnikowiaceae.